RNAcentral lists this ribosomal RNA (431 nucleotides) under uncultured bacterium. RNAcentral's name for it is "partial 16S ribosomal RNA". It matches the Rfam family "Bacterial small subunit ribosomal RNA", at positions 29 to 507 of the family's 1533-position model. The record is from RNAcentral.
AGCGAACGCUGGCGGCAGGCUUAACACAUGCAAGUCGAGCGCCCCGCAAGGGGAGCGGCAGACGGGAGAGUAACACGUGGGAACAUACCUUUUGGUUCGGAACAACUGAGGGAAACUUCAGCUAAUACCGGAUAAGCCCUUACGGGGAAAGAUUUAUCGCCGAAAGAUUGGCCCGCGUCUGAUUAGCUAGUUGGUGAGGUAACGGCUCACCAAGGCGACGAUCAGUAGCUGGCCUGAGAGGAUGAUCAGCCUCACUGGGACUGAGACACGGCCCAGACUCCUACGGGAGGCAGCAGUGGGGAAUAUUGGACAAUGGGGGCAACCCUGAUCCAGCCAUGCCGCGUGAGUGAUGAAGGCCUUAGGGUUGUAAAGCUCUUUUGCCCGGGAAGAUAAUGACGGUACCGGGAGAAUAAGCCCCGGCUAACUUCGUG